Long non-coding RNA from Triticum aestivum (bread wheat), 301 nucleotides. RefSeq lists it as uncharacterized. The record is from RefSeq and is a predicted model, not a curated record. The transcript is spliced from 3 exons. Lineage: Eukaryota; Viridiplantae; Streptophyta; Magnoliopsida; Poales; Poaceae.
CUUUGCUCAGAUAAUUUAUAUAGGUUGUUCUUUCUUUAGUACCAAUGAAUAACUUGGUUACACGAUAUACUUGAAGACUGUAGUAGGAACAAAAUGCUUGGCAGACCAAACUAAUUAGCUUUGAAGUUUCCUGGAGACAGACUACUCUUGCAUCAUUAUGUGCAACCCACAGGGAUCUCGCUCGGUGAGACAUGCACACCUAUGCCACAUCUUUACAAGUUUCACAAAAACAUAAACAUAUGUUUGGAUGGGUGUCCUUCCCCGCGACCUCGCUGUCUCCAACCCAUCCACAGGUAUUGCA